RNAcentral lists this ribosomal RNA (143 nucleotides) under uncultured eukaryote. RNAcentral's name for it is "partial 18S ribosomal RNA". It matches the Rfam family "Eukaryotic small subunit ribosomal RNA", at positions 1299 to 1458 of the family's 1831-position model. The record is from RNAcentral.
UGGUGGAGCGAUUUGUCUGGUCAAUUCCGAUAACGAACGAGACUCUAGCCUACUAAUUAGUUCGGGGACCCCCACAAAGGGGCCCCGCUUCAACUUCUUAGAGGGACAGGUGGCGUUUAGCCACACGAGAUUGAGCAAUAACA